This 4230-nucleotide unclassified non-coding RNA is filed under the name Cimex lectularius (bed bug). RNAcentral's name for it is "hemicentin-1, transcript variant X2". Lineage: Eukaryota; Metazoa; Arthropoda; Insecta; Hemiptera; Cimicidae. The record is from RNAcentral.
GUACUACUGAAGUUGGUUCAAGGCGAGUUGAACAACAGACAGUGCUGGACCUUGAUUUUUAUACAUGAUGAUGUCGAAACUUGAGUACGAAGCGAACAAGACUCAGUUGUUCUUGCUGAUAAACAAAGUCGAGCUUGAGGAUGAAGGGAUGUACCAGUGUGAAAUUAAUUACAUCAUUGAAAGCAUUAACGAGGAUUGUAACUAUGACGCGCAAUUCAUCAACUUUACAACACUGAUUAAACCUGAGUUCAUUACAAUUGAAGGAGACGGGAAAGAGAUAACGAACGGGUCAAAGAUCGGCCCGUUGACCGAAGACGACGAAAUCACCCUGACCUGUUCUUCCGGUGGAGCCAAGCCGAUUCCAACGAUUCAGUGGUACAACGGGACGACUCUCCUGGAAGGGGAGUGUGAAGAGGAAAAAACCGAUGGCCUCAUCGGUACCAACACGAACAAAGUGAAGAUCAGAGUCAGCAGGGGUGACUUAGGAAUCGACUACCAAUGCCGAGCUCUUCAUCCAACGAUCGCAGGCUACAUCUCAAAAGAGUUCCAGUUCGAAGUCAACGUGCGUCCCAACAAUCUUGAGAUGUCACCGGUAAACUACCCUAUAAUCAAAGGGAACAAAGUCCAUCUGACUUGUACGGUGAAAGGAGCGAGGCCUGCGGCGAACAUAACUUGGUACAACGGAACUACAGCUCUUCAGGAAACGGAAAGCGAAGUAAAAAUGUUAAUAGAUAGGAAACCCUACACGAAAAAGAUAGCGAACGGAGACAACACUUUUGAUACAGUUUCUCAACUCGUCUUCAUCGCUACAAGGUUCGAGAACGAGCAAUCACUGAGCUGCGAAGCCUCCAACGAAAUAAUGAGAUCGAGACACGAAGGGAACAUGAGAGAAACAACCACUUUGGAAGUUAUGUACCCUCCGAUAGUGACUGUAGCACCUGAAAACAUAACUGUCAACGAAACAACGGACAUUCUUAUUUUCUGUCAGUACGAGGCCAAUCCGUCUACUCUCGUUUCUGUUAAAUGGAUGAGAGAUGAAGAGGAAGUAAUACUUGAGCCUGAUCAUUACCAAGGAGGCACAACGGAACAUACAGCACUUUUAAUCAAAAAUUCUACUAGAUACGACAUUGGCUCGUAUACUUGUAUAUUGGCAAAUGAAAUCGGUGCUAUGCCUUCUCAUAAUUCUGUGAAUGUUUCUGUAUACUUCAAACCUAUUGUAAACGUUAGCUUGUCACCACCGUCACCGGUAACAGAAGUGGAUAAUUUAAACAUUACGCUAACUUGUAAUGUGAUUGCUGGAAACCCUGAUACAUUAAAAGCAGUGAGGUGGUAUCUUAACGGCCAACUGCUAAAAGAACUUCCUGACUGUUCGGAUUCAACUUUUUGCAAUUUGGAUCCUAGUAUGAUGUUACUGGAAGAAGUCGGAAGAAAUUUUCAUGGCAAUUACUCCUGUAUUGGUAUGAACGAUGCCGGCUGGGGGCCGAUUUCACCAGAGGCUGAACUUGCUGUUUACUACCCUCCCAGUGCUGUAACACUUAAAUACACUCCCUCCAGCGUUGUAAAACGUGGUUCAAUGACUUUAAUGUGUUCAGUCGGAGAUUUGGGCAGACCUGCCAAUACAACAUACAGAUGGAUGAGAGGAGCACACAUUGUUUUUGAUGUGACAACUGCCAAUUGGACUAUUGACCCAGUUACAUUAGAAACCCAAUCUAACUUUACUUGCGCUGCUGUAAAUUUAGGAGGAGAAAGUGAAUCAGCUACAGUUUUUGUAAAUGUCUUUGCACCACCAACAUUCAUAGAAAGACUGCCCUUGUAUUAUGGUGCUCUCAUGACAUCCCAAAGCAUAAGUAUAACAUGCAGAGUUGAAUGCUAUCCAGUUUGUUCGAUAACGUGGCAGAAAAAUGGCCAGCGGUUGGAGACCGGUUCAAGAAGUCGAUACUAUGUUAUUAGUAAAGUCGAACCACCAGACACAAGGACUAACGAUUUUCAGUCAGUCAAGUCAACACUUAUUUGGAAUAUGACUGCUUGGCCUGGAGGUGUCUUAGACAGAAUGACAGACAAUGCAAAUUACUCGUGUGAAAGCACAGGGAAUGCAGUAGGUUCUGGAGUCAAAAGCACCAUGUUCUUUGGUGUAGAAUACCCACCAGAAAAUAUGACUGUUUCUAACAGUAUCGUAAAUGUCACUGAAGGAAAUAUUCCUGAAAAGAUCUUAUGCUCAGCAAAAGCCUAUCCAGAAGCAACAUAUCAAUGGCGAAGGGAAGGAGAAAAUGAAGUAGUAAUGAAGGGAAACGCAUUAAUCGUCAACCAUGCCGUUUUAAGGAGAAAUGCUGGAAAUUACACAUGUGAAGCUCAAAACCGACAUGGCAAUAAUACGAAAACCAUCUUUAUUAAUGUUUUAUACCGUCCAGAAUGCGGAAUCACAAAGAAGGAAGUCGAGGGAAAACUCGUCCUAAUCUGCCAAGCCCUCGCAAACCCAGCCGAAGUUGAUUUUACAUGGAAAAUCAAAAAUGAGAAUGAAACAAUUGAAGAUAACAUUGAGAAAAAUGGACUCCAGAGUCUUUUAACUCUAGAAACAAGGGUUGAAAGCUUCAGAACUUAUUUGUGUUUUGCAAACAACUCGGUCGGAAUGUCCAUCCCGUGUGAAAUGGAUGUAACUGGAAGUAUCAGUUGGUGGGGAAAGCUGGAGAAAGAAAAUUUAAUGAUACUAAUUGCUAUUAUAGCAGGUAUCAUUUUGAUGGUCAUCAUCAUCUGCAUCAUCAUAAUCAUUGUUUGUAGAAGAAAACGGGCUGCAGAUAAAUAUAAUAUCCCAGUGGAGCUUGAAGAUAGAGAAAACCCCGAAGGAAGCUGUACCAACAACAACAAUAACAACCCAGGAGGAGCAAGUACACCGACAAACGGCCAUGUCUCCAAGUGGCCGAUGAGACCGGGUGUCCUUGUUCAUGUGAACAACAACCACAGCCUGCUUUCUUCAGCACCGAGCGGGAGAUCUCCAAAUGAGAGCCAGGCUUCAAGGACGAGCAGAAUAAAAGCCAUGUUUUCUCAGGAUCCGAACACCCAGCACUUUCCUGGUGUCUUCCAAUCAAAGUCAGGAGUGGUCACUUUCAAACGUCUCGAUUCCUCCUCUGAGAACAACACCUUGGUUAGACAACAGAAGAAACCGGAUAUUACAGGUCCAAACCCAUCUUCAAACAAGGAUAUAAACUCAUCACACAGCAAUGCUCUUCUCCCUCCAGACCCAGACAAGGCAUUUUAUGAAAACUUGCCCUUUCACAAUAUCCAAAACCCUCCCAACAAGGCUAGUCGACCACCAAGCAGAAUAAGCUCUGGAUAUGGCUCUGCCAGAAGCCAGAAAGCGUUAAGGCCAGCAAGAAAAUUUCUCACAGUACGUCCAUUGGGUACAAAACCAAGAAACUGGCCUCAAUUCCGUUCUUUGAGAAUUUCUAAAGCCAAGAAUAGCCUGCCAGUCCCAGCGCCGAGAGUAUUUUUCCCAAAAAAGCCACCAAUAAAUCACAGUUAUCAAAAUGUGCCUCCUCCAAAGGAUUUGAUAGCAGGAUCAUCAGAGAGCCCUGCCGAACCAAAACCAUCUGAACCAAAAGAGACUGAGAACCCUACCAAAGAAAAUGCAAAAGAUACCAGCUGUCCCAGGAUAGUUUUAGCCAAAGAGAAAAGUGUAAAUAGCAAAAAGGAUGUACAUAAAAGUGUUCCACCUCACAAUGACAUUCAGCAAAAUACCAAAGAUACCCAAAACGAAGAAGAAAAAGACAAUAAAAUUCGUUCCAAUGAUGCCAAAGAAAGUAAAGAAAAUCUGACACCAAUAAAUAAAACUCCAGAUCGAACUGAAGAGAGAAUAGCAUAUGGGGAGAACGGUGGGCGACAUCACAGUCACGGGAGGAGUUCGACAGGUGGAAGGACAAAACGAAAACAGCACCGGAGAUCAGAAAUGGAGUGCCCCAGGUACAGGCCUGGAUCGGCACCAGGAUCGCCGCCUUCGAACCGAUACCUGCCUCCAGACAAUCCGCCCCUUCCACAGCUUGUCUAUCAAGCCCCACCAAGAUCUCAUCACACAGAGUACAGCCACCCAAGAAACAAGACAGAUUACACUUUUAUUAAGUUCCAUGACGUAGGACAGGAAAUCGAUGUUUAAUUUGGAAGCCAAGGGCCCCAGUGUAACAUACAUUUUUUGAAAAGGAACAGAGGAUUUUAAUAUUAAGCCUUACAGACCUGAAUACU